AGCGAACGCCGGCGGCAGGCCUAACACAUGCAACUCGAACGAACCUUUCGGGGUUAGUGGCGUACGGGGGCGUAACACGUAGGAACAUGCCUUUAGGUUCGGAAUAACCCACGGAACAUUGUUCUAAUACCGGAAAUGCCCUUCCGGGGUAAGAUGUAUCGCCUUUAGAGCGGCCCGCGUCUGAUUAGCUCGUUGGUUGAGGUAAUGGCUCACCCAGCCGACGAUCAGUAGCUGGUCUGAGAGGAUGAGCAGCCACAUUGGGACUGAGACACGGCCCAAACUCCUACGGGAGGCAGCAGUGGGGAAUCUUGCGCAAUGGGCGAAAGCCUGACGCAGCCAUGCCGCGUGAAUGAUGAAGGUCUUAGGAUUGUAAAAUUAUUUCGCCGGGGAGGAUAAUGACGGUACCCGGAGAAGAAGCCCCGGCUAACUUCGUG
This 434-nucleotide ribosomal RNA is filed under the name uncultured bacterium. RNAcentral describes it as "partial 16S ribosomal RNA". It matches the Rfam family "Bacterial small subunit ribosomal RNA", at positions 29 to 507 of the family's 1533-position model. The record is from RNAcentral.